Molecule: ribosomal RNA, 449 nt
Filed under: uncultured bacterium
Lineage: Bacteria
Description: partial 16S ribosomal RNA
Rfam family: Bacterial small subunit ribosomal RNA
Source: RNAcentral
AACGAACGCUGGCGGCAUGCCUAACACAUGCAAGUCGAACGAGAUCUUCGGGUCUAGUGGCGCACGGGUGCGUAACGCGUGGGAAUCUGCCCUUUGGUUCGGAAUAACAGUUGGAAACGACUGCUAAUACCGGAUGAUUACGAAAGUCCAAAGAUUUAUCGCCAGGGGAUGAGCCCGGGUAGGAUUAGCAAGUUGGGGUGGUAAAGGCGCACCAAGGCGACGAUCAUUGGCUGGUCUGAGAGGAUGAUCAGCCACACUGGGACGGAGACACGGCCCAGACUCCUACGGGAGGCAGCAGUGGGGAAUAUUGGACAAUGGGCGAAAGCCUGAUCCAGCAAUGCCGCGUGAGUGAUGAAGGCCUUAGGGUUGUAAAGCUCUUUUACCCGGGAUGAUAAUGGCAGUACCGGGAGAAUAAGCUCCGGCUAACUCCGUGCCAGCCGCCGCCGUAA